RNAcentral lists this ribosomal RNA (460 nucleotides) under uncultured bacterium. RNAcentral describes it as "partial 16S ribosomal RNA". It matches the Rfam family "Bacterial small subunit ribosomal RNA", at positions 338 to 795 of the family's 1533-position model. The record is from RNAcentral.
CCUACGGGCGGCAGCAGUGAGGAAUAUUGGUCAAUGGACGAGAGUCUGAACCAGCCAAGUAGCGUGAAGGAUGACUGCCCUAUGGGUUGUAAACUUCUUUUAUAAAGGAAUAAAACGAGGCACGUGUGCCUUUUUGCAUGUACUUUAUGAAUAAGGAUCGGCUAACUCCGUGCCAGCAGCCGUGGUAAUACGGAGGAUCCGAGCGUUAUCCGGAUUUAUUGGGUUUAAAGGGAGCGUAGAUGGUUUGUUAAGUCAGUUGUGAAAGUUUGCGGCUCAACCGUAAAAUUGCAAUUGAUACUGGCAGUCUUGAGGACAGUUGAGGUAGGCGGAAUUCGUGGUGUAGCGGUGAAAGGCUUAGAUAUCACGAAGAACCCCGAUUGCGAAGGCAGCUUACUAAACUGUGACUGACAUUGAUGCGCGAAAGUGUGGGUAUCAAACAGGAUUAGAUACCCCAGUAGUC